CAGCUGUACAGUUAAUAUACAGCUUCACAAAUUUACAGUUUAUAUACAGCUUUACAUAUGCAGAUUUGAUAUGCAUCUUUAGAACUGGACAUCAAGAAUACUUGUACUAAAGUAGCUGUGUAUACCUCUAGCUUAUGUUAAAUAAAUAAACGCAUAGCAAUACGCACAGUUUAAAAGAAGACCGAGUCCGAAGUUAGAAUAAGUAACAAAACAAUCAAGCACUUCCCAAAGGGUAUAGUUUUAGCAACUAUGUACAAAUUAAAACAUAAGGAA
Molecule: long non-coding RNA, 273 nt
Filed under: Mytilus galloprovincialis (Mediterranean mussel)
Lineage: Eukaryota; Metazoa; Mollusca; Bivalvia; Mytilida; Mytilidae
Source: RNAcentral